This is a long non-coding RNA of Gavialis gangeticus (Gharial), 615 nucleotides long. RefSeq lists it as uncharacterized. Lineage: Eukaryota; Metazoa; Chordata; Crocodylia; Gavialidae. The transcript has 3 exons. The record is from RefSeq and is a predicted model, not a curated record.
UGCCUUUUUUAAUGUCAAGCGUUGCACAUAAGAUGUUCUGCCGUUGCUAUGCAACUGCUAAAUCCAAUAUUUAAUAUUAAUAAAAACUGAGUGGCAUUAACAUCAGUGAGAACAGUGGGCUAGCAAACUAUGAUUGUACAAUAUCCAAGCUGUAAAACUUGGCAGGGAUUUCGGUGUGCUGUUGCAUGCAUGACAAGCUGUGGGGUAUGCGUCAUUGGCAGUUACUAUUUUAAGAGUGGCGAGUUUGGAGGCGAGUCUCUAAGCUCCCUUGAUCCUAACAACAAAAAAAGUGAAAGGGGCUGAGGUUGGUUGGCCGGGUGAGUCCGGUGGUCAGGCCAGGCACGGAUGGUGAUGGAUCGUCAUCCAUGAAUAAUGGUGGAGGGGUCAGAACGAUAAACAUGAGGGUCAAAACCCUGACUCUUCUAUUUUUCUUCCCCCAGGUCAGGUGGGUGUGCCCUUCCCCAUUGUUCCUGCCACUUCCUGAAGCCUGCACUGGCUUUCUUUGGAGGCAGUACUGCUUGCCUGCCUGACAAGGGUUUGAAAGUAUUCUAGAAGGGCUGUUUGGACCUGGAUUAUUAAAAGAUCUCAGUUUGUUUAAAGACUGUGAGCCCGAAG